UACGAAGGGUGCAAGCGCUACUCGGAAUUACUGGGCGUAAAGCGUGCGUAGGUGGUUCGUUAAGUCUGAUGUGAAAGCCCUGGGCUCAACCUGGGAAUGGCAUUGGAAACUGGCGACCUAGAGUGCGGUAGAGGGUAGUGGAAUUCCCGGUGUAGCAGUGAAAUGCGUAGAGAUCGGGAGGAACAUCCGUGGCGAAGGCGACUACCUGGACCAGCACUGACACUGAGGCACGAAAGCGUGGGGAGCAAACAGG
This 253-nucleotide ribosomal RNA is filed under the name uncultured bacterium. Its description in RNAcentral is "partial 16S ribosomal RNA". It matches the Rfam family "Bacterial small subunit ribosomal RNA", at positions 524 to 776 of the family's 1533-position model. The record is from RNAcentral.